GUCCCCGUAGCUUACCAACAAAGCAUAGCACUGAAGAUGCUAAGACGGCCUAAACAACCAAUGCCCGGAGACA
Molecule: transfer RNA, 73 nt
Filed under: Corythaeola cristata (great blue turaco)
Lineage: Eukaryota; Metazoa; Chordata; Aves; Musophagiformes; Musophagidae
Description: tRNA-Phe
Source: RNAcentral